Long non-coding RNA from Myotis myotis, 5172 nucleotides. RefSeq lists it as uncharacterized. NCBI's taxonomy places the organism in Eukaryota, Metazoa, Chordata, Mammalia, Chiroptera, Vespertilionidae. The transcript is spliced from 2 exons. The record is from RefSeq and is a predicted model, not a curated record.
AAUCAAGUUAAUAACAAUGUACCUACCUAUAUAGUUUAAGUUUAAAAAAUUUGGCUCUCAAAAGAAAUUCCAGUCGUUGUCCUGUUGAUAUUUGGCUCUGGUGGCUAACGAGUUUGCCCACCACUGGCCCAAGCGGUCCUUCCGCUGAGGCUCUGUCUCUUGGACGUUCAACCUGGUCCGUACUUGGUGCUCUUCCCACCCUCCCUACCUGUUGACCACGCCCCUCCUCAAUCUCUGGAAUCUCACAGGUCCCUGGAGUCAGGUCCCUUCCAGAACCCUAAGGGAAACACCCAGAGUGGGCUGUUACUGUUCAGAUGCCCAGGGAUCCUCUCUUACUCGGAGCCCAAGACUAGUCCAGGCCUUCCCGCCUGCCUCCCUCUGCUGUCCACCACCAGUUAAGGAACCGCACGUUUUACUGGGAGAAAAGCAGCCAUGGCCGGACUGAAAUGAACUGAACGUAUCCAAUGAUGUGGGGGGGGGGGGGGGGGGCGGUGUUGCCACAGAAAGCCCCCUCCCAUGAGUGAAAGCGGCGAGCCCCUUUACCCACCCCAGCCCAGGAGCCUGUGCGCACCCAGCAGGUGCGAUUGGAGACGACCCGGCCAGCGGGAGGGGCACCCUGUGCUGAGAGCAGGGUCCCUUUUAGCUGGGAGCCGCCCUGCUUUUGGACGGAACAGGGUGCAGGCUGAGCCCCAGUAACUGGGCUUGAGACCCAGCAAGUGCAGGACCCGGGUCCCUCUUUUCUAAAUGCCCGUGAAGGCUUAGGUCAAGGGCGGAGGCCACUCGGGGGAAAUGCUGUUCGGAGACGGUGCAGUGAUGCUUCUCGAACUCAUCAUGGUUUAGGGGACAAAACCAACCAGGGCAACACCAACCUGAGAACUGUCUCAGGGAGCUCAGGUCUUCAGCCCCAGGUGGCAGGAGGGGCUGAGUGAGGAGGAGGGAGAAGACGCUGGCAGGGCCGGCAGUCUUCCUAGAGGCAGGGUCCUAGCUACCCAUGAGCCUAUUCAUGUUGGGGCUGGCCCAGCCUUCCACGGAGUAGAGCCCUUCCUCCUUUUCUCCUCCCUGAUGAGGAUCCAGGUGCAAUCAUCCAUCUUGGGGCAGGGGGGUGAAAUGGGGUGGAAGGGGGGGCAGUAGAGCCUGGCUGCUUGGGAGAGCAUGUGGGAGACUAUUAAAUAAAGGCAGGCCAGGGGACUUGGGGUGGGCGGGGGUGCCAGGGAAGCAGUGGUGCUCUGCCCACUCCCCACCUUCAGAAGGGGUCCUCCUGCAGCUUCUCACCCUGCUGCUCUCUUGGCUGGGUCUCUGCUUCAAAGCAUUCUGACCGCCCCCCCCCCCACACCCCCGAUUUCAUGGAAAGGCAUCCCUGACAGCCACCUCAGAAAGAAGACAAACCCACAUCCACACAGGGCUGGAGCCUCCCCUGCCUGAACCCCAGAGCACACCCUCCCACCGCCCCCCCUCCCUCUCUCUCUCUGGCCUGUACUGCAGGGCCCUCUGGGUCUGCUCAGCGGCUGAGAGAGGAAGUGGCUUUGUUGUGCCCGGGGAUUGUCUGGAUUCUGAAACUUGGGCUUCCUUCCCUGCCCUUCUUGGCAGGAGAAUCCUCAGUUGAAGAGACUGCCGCCCCCCCACCCCACCCCCAAUACACACACUCCAGUGUCCCCUCCUUCCAGCUCAGCACCAUCCAUCUCCGUCUCCUCAGAGCAAGGAAUGCGGCUCCGGACACUGUGGGGCUUGUUCCCAAUCCCCUUCUAGCUCAUUGCACUUGGACUUUUACAGACUCGCCUUCCUCCCACGGGCUGCUGUCUGAGUUCUGGCUCUGAGGCCCAGACAGAGGUCUCCCCUCCCUGCCAGCCUCACAUUUCAUCUUGUCCCAACACCAUCUGAGGUGGCCUGGGGGGGUCAAGGCACCCUUGGUGGGAACCGGUGGGGGGGUAGGGUCCCCCUUCUUCCCAUUUCCAGCCAUUCAGGCUGGCCUCUGGCGUGGCCGGGCCCUGCACUAUACACUGUCUACAAGCCCUCCAUCCUGCACCCACCCUUCCUGGCCACGCCCCGCAAGCCCCGAUUAUUGCUGGAAUUAGCACAGGGCUUCUUGCUGGCAGUUGCCAAUUAGGACCAUUAAUACAUUCGAUUAUCAAUGCAGUAGCUGGCUGCAGCCCCAGCACCUAUCACCGGCACCACUGGCCAGGAGCGGGCGCCAGGGUGAGGGUGACGGUGACGGUGACGUCUGCCUGCCUCCACCUGGGGAAGGCUGCUCCUGCCAGGCCUGCCCCCCGUGCCUCAGGCUCUUCCAGGCACAGGUGGGUGGGUACAGAGGCUCAAGGGGACUCAGCUGAAUCUUCUGGAGAAGUAGAGGGACAGCCUUCACUCCUGGGGACCCCAAACUGAAACCAGGGAUGCCAGUGUGUGUGGCAGGGAGGCGGGGGGCGGGAGGGGGAGUGUGAGCCAGCGAUGAGGGCAUCUUUCUUCCCCAGGACCUCCGGGGGCAGGUUGGCUGGAGCGUAGGAAGACUCAGGGGGAGAACUGGGGUGACACCCUAAUGCACAUCUCUGCUUCCCAGCACCCAGAGCUCUUGGCACCUCCAGUUCCCCCUGGACUUCAGCCAGGUGAUGGCGUAUUUUAAUUUUCCCAGUGGGUAGGGGACCAUCCUAUGGGACCGGGAAACUCUCUCUGUAAAAAGGGGAACAUGCACCUCACAGUGACUGAGGACCUACUAGGCGCCAGGCCUUCGGAGUACUUUAAUCAAUAAAAUGUAGUUUACAUCUUCCAGGGGACUGUCCCUCAUCCCUCCAGACGGAUGAGGCUGCCUCCUCUGCAGGUGCCCUCACCCUUUCAUUCCCAGCCCCUCACAGGGUGUUGUAAGGAGCUGUUCUAACGGAAGCCAGUGGUUGUGCGUUGUUCCAGCAAGGAGAGCCCCACCAGGCUUUGUUGCCACAGCCGUGCCCUUGCCCGCCGUGCCCUGCCCUCCACCCUCAGGCUCCAGAGCGGGAUGAACGGCAAGUCGUCCUUUGUCCGAGUUUGUGUCAGCUGGACCUAAUCGGAGCAAGAGAGGCCGCUGAGCCACAGCUAGGACUUGAAGGAGCUGGGAGGUGGCCUGGCAAGCAGGGCUGGGCCCUCCAAAGGAGCCGGUUGGCUCUCAGCAGGCCCGUGUGGGCUUCCUCGGGCCCAGCCUGGCCUCUGCACCUCCUCCCCCAUCCACUCAUGCCCCAGAAGUGGUCCAAGGUGGCCCGGGAGAGCUUGGGAAGGCUCCCCCCCCAAAAAAAAGCCUGCUUUCACUUUUCUCCACCCGAACUUCAAUGUCCUGACUUUUAUCUGCAGCUUUUGAAGGAAGGAUCCACCAAGACUUUAGUCUCCCUAACCCAGGGAAAAAGAAGAGAAAAAACGUCCUGAAAACAAAACCCCUACAACAACCUUAAAGACUUCAAGAGGAGAGACAUUCAGUGAAGGACUGUGGGAUGAAUGGCGGCCGACCUCCCCCCAAAUCAAGCCCUGAGUCCAGACGGCGGGAGCGGUGGGGGAAGGGCCAGGAGUGCUCCAGCUGGGGGCGAGCCUCCCUGCCAGGGACACCCCUGUUGGGCAGGCCUGGGACAAUGGGGCUGCGGGGCUGCCUGAGAGUCCAGGUGUGGGCUGGGGUCCCACAGUGUGAAUGGCCCAUUAUCCUGCCUAGAGGAUGGGAAUUGAGGGUCUCUUUGUGUCCCCCAGGAAAGGCCCCUCUGGGUGAUAAUCACCCUGGGAGGGAGGUGGAGUUGGUGAUAAGGGUCUUUAUUGGGGGCCAAGCCUCCUCAGAGAACAGUUGGCCAUUCAGCCUUCAGCCCUUCACUUGUCUCUGGCCGCCUGGGAUCCCAUGGCCCAUCCACGGGGGGGGGGGGGGGGGGGGAGUGAGGGGGGGCCAGCAAACACAGCCACACCCUCCCCAUCACUAUGGCUACUAGACUGAGUUCAAGGACAGCUUUCUACAGGAAAUCACUCCCGGGCCCCCUUCCUAACCUCCAUCUAGCCUUGGAGACCGUAGGGGGCUUGUCUCAUCUCCACCAACUCACCGAGUGUCUCUGAGGCCAGACCUGCCUGCGAGUGGACGUGGACUCUGCGCGUCCCUCCACUUCUAUGAAACACUCACCGGGGUCUCACUCCACCCUACACAUGCCCUUUAGAAUAAGGCAUCGGCCCCAAUUCACAGAUGGCAAAACUGCGCUUCAGGGCGGUGAAGAGGCUCCUGUGAGGCUGCACAGCCAGCAGGGGAGAGCCCAGAUGAGAGCCCGGUCUUUCAAACAACAGGCACGAAGCUUUGGCACUUGCCGUCCCUCUACCUGGGAUGCUCACCUCCCCAUUCGCCGAAGGGCUGGCCUCCUCAGCUGGCUUCCUUGUCUCCUUUGGUCUUUGCUUGCAUCAGGCCUUCCCUGGAAGGAGAUGUCUGAGAUGUGCUUCUAAACAGCACAGGAGGUGGGUCAGACAGACGUGAGCAGAGCCAGGACACUCCCCAGGGUAGAAAGCCCUGGUGCCCAGCAAGGGGCAAAACUGGGAAAUCAAGAAGCUUGCCCACAGGGUAACCUGUCCUCACCUAGCCUAUCACUGGUCGUGCUGUUUGGAUCCCUGAUCUUUACCCCCCUAAAGAUAACAUCUAGGCUUCAGCUCCAGGCCCAGAAAAGCUGCAAAACCAGAGAGGUGAUGCCCUGUGGGCCUCAGCACCAGCUGUACUGACUGACCCCUGCCCUGGCACCGACCAAUCAGGAGACCAGGAAGCUGAACGAGCACACCUGGAAAGCUGAUGAAUAUUCUAUGAAGACCCUCCCCUGAGAUUUCCAUCUGCAAGAGAGAUACGUGUGCUGGGGACAAAGGACCCAGUGCCAUUCCCUCACAGGCAUGGAUCCCCCAACCUCUAAGGGACCCCAGGAAAGUUGCAACCCGGGGAGCAAUGGGCAGCGGCAGCUCCUCCCGGGCUCACCCCUGGACCUGUCUCCACGGCCCCCUUCUCUGAUUUCUCAGUGAGCCAGAGCAGCCCGCCUAGACUUCCCUGUUGCUUCUUCUAUGGCUAUGCCCUUCCUUGUUUCACUGUCCUAGGUCUAUUUUUGCUGCCAUCAUGGGCCCCAUAACCUUUGGCUCAGUGCAGUGUAGCCCUUCCCUUUAGAUAUCCCCAUCCCCCACCCCCCUUUCCUUAAAUAAAUUCAAUUUUUCUUUAUUCAA